RNAcentral lists this ribosomal RNA (254 nucleotides) under uncultured bacterium. Its description in RNAcentral is "partial 16S ribosomal RNA". It matches the Rfam family "Bacterial small subunit ribosomal RNA", at positions 524 to 776 of the family's 1533-position model. The record is from RNAcentral.
UACGGAGGGAGCUAGCGUUAUUCGGAAUUACUGGGCGUAAAGCGCACGUAGGCGGCUUUGUAAGUUAGAGGUGAAAGCCCGGGGCUCAACCCCGGAACUGCCUUUAAGACUGCAUCGCUUGAAUCCAGGAGAGGUGAGUGGAAUUCCGAGUGUAGAGGUGAAAUUCGUAGAUAUUCGGAAGAACACCAGUGGCGAAGGCGGCUCACUGGAGCUGGUAUUGACGCUGAUGUGCGAAAGCGUGGGGAGCAAACAGG